GACGAACGCUGGCGGCGUGCCUAAUACAUGCAAGUAGAACGCUGAAGGAGGAGCUUGCUCUUCUGGAUGAGUUGCGAACGGGUGAGUAACGCGUAGGCAACCUGCCUGGUAGCGGGGGAUAACUAUUGGAAACGAUAGCUAAUACCGCAUAAGAGUAGAUGUUGCAUGACAUUUACUUAAAAGGUGCAAUUGCAUCACUACCAGAUGGACCUGCGUUGUAUUAGCUAGUUGGUGGGGUAACGGCUUACCAAGGCGACGAUACAUAGCCGACCUGAGAGGGUGAUCGGCCACACUGGGACUGAGACACGGCCCAGACUCCUACGGGAGGCAGCAGUAGGGAAUCUUCGGCAAUGGACGGAAGUCUGACCGAGCAACGCCGCGUGAGUGAAGAAGGUUUUCGGAUCGUAAAGCUCUGUUGUAAGAGAAGAACGAGUGUGAGAGUGGAAAGUUCACACUGUGACGGUAUCUUACCAGAAAGGGACGGCUAACUACGUG
This 495-nucleotide ribosomal RNA is filed under the name uncultured bacterium. RNAcentral describes it as "partial 16S ribosomal RNA". It matches the Rfam family "Bacterial small subunit ribosomal RNA", at positions 28 to 507 of the family's 1533-position model. The record is from RNAcentral.